CUCUCUCUCUCUCUCUCUCUCUCCCUCUCUGCCAUGUGUGGACGUGGCCAGAAGGUGGCCCUCUGCAAAGCAGAAAGAGAGCUCCCACCAGAACCUGACCAUGCCUGCAUCCUGAUCUUGGAUUUCCAGCCUCCGGAACUGCUUGCUCUGCCCACUCUUUCCUCCAAAUGGAAGUGGCCCAAGUCUCUCUCAACCUAUCCGUGGUUCCUUCAGGCUCACAGUGACAAGGCUAUUUCUAGAUCUCAUGUCUGCCGGGCUGUGAUGGCUUCUGUAUCCUCUGUCCAGACCUGUCCCUCACACGGACCUGUCCUUACGGGAGUGAUGCAUGUGAAGCCGUUCGAAUCAGAAGUUUGCUUGGUGAGCAUGAACUCCGAACGUGGAAUUCCGGCACAGGCGUUAGAUGGCUAAGAGUUGUUUGGACCAUUCAGUCCCAUACCAGGGAUUCAGGGACAUCCUGAGAUUGGACCGAUCCUGUAACUGGACCAACAAAACCCCUAGACCAGUGGUGUACCAAUAAAGCAUCG
This 524-nucleotide long non-coding RNA is filed under the name Equus asinus (donkey). Its description in RNAcentral is "lncRNA (ENSEASG00005027164.1)". The record is from RNAcentral. Lineage: Eukaryota; Metazoa; Chordata; Mammalia; Perissodactyla; Equidae.